GCCGGAGUGGCGGAAUUGGCAGACGCAGCGGACUUAAAAUCCGCCGGGGCGCAAGCCUCGUGAGGGUUCGAUCCCCUCCUCCGGCA
RNAcentral lists this transfer RNA (86 nucleotides) under Candidatus Eiseniibacteriota bacterium. RNAcentral describes it as "tRNA-Leu". It matches the Rfam family "tRNA". Rfam says of the family: Transfer RNA (tRNA) molecules are approximately 80 nucleotides in length. Their secondary structure includes four short double-helical elements and three loops (D, anti-codon, and T loops). The record is from RNAcentral. Lineage: Bacteria; Candidatus Eiseniibacteriota.